UCCAGACUCCUACGGGAGGCAGCAGUGAGGAAUAUUGGUCAAUGGGCGGAAGCCUGAACCAGCCAAGUCGCGUGAGGGAUUAAGGCCCUAUGGGUCGUAAACCUCUUUUGUCAGGGAGCAAUGGCGUCCACGUGUGGGCGUAUGGAGAGUACCUGAAGAAAAAGCAUCGGCUAACUCCGUGCCAGCAGCCGCGGUAAUACGGAGGAUGCGAGCGUUAUCCGGAUUUAUUGGGUUUAAAGGGUGCGUAGGCGGGCAGUUAAGCCGGCGGUCAAAUGUCGGGGCUCAACCCCGGCCUGCCGUCGGAACUGGGUGCCUUGAGUGGGCGAGAAGUAUGCGGAAUGCGUGGUGUAGCGGUGAAAUGCAUAGAUAUCACGCAGAACCCCGAUUGCGAAGGCAGCAUACCGGCGCCCUACUGACGCUGAGGCACGAAAGUGCGGGUAUCGAACAGGAUUAGAUACCCCCGUA
Molecule: ribosomal RNA, 465 nt
Filed under: uncultured bacterium
Lineage: Bacteria
Description: bacterial SSU rRNA
Rfam family: Bacterial small subunit ribosomal RNA
Source: RNAcentral